Molecule: transfer RNA, 72 nt
Filed under: Hippopotamus amphibius (hippopotamus)
Lineage: Eukaryota; Metazoa; Chordata; Mammalia; Artiodactyla; Hippopotamidae
Description: tRNA-Gln
Rfam family: tRNA
About the family: Transfer RNA (tRNA) molecules are approximately 80 nucleotides in length. Their secondary structure includes four short double-helical elements and three loops (D, anti-codon, and T loops).
Source: RNAcentral
UGGAACGGGGUGUGAUUGGUAGCACAGGGAAUUUUGAGUUCUCAGGAGUAGGUUCGAUUCCUAUAGUUCUAG